This 301-nucleotide ribosomal RNA is filed under the name uncultured bacterium. Its description in RNAcentral is "partial 16S ribosomal RNA". It matches the Rfam family "Bacterial small subunit ribosomal RNA", at positions 509 to 807 of the family's 1533-position model. The record is from RNAcentral.
CAGUCGCCGCGGGAAUACGGAGGGUGCAAGCGUUAAUCGGAAUUACUGGGCGUAAAGCGCACGCAGGCGGUUUGUUAAGUCAGAUGUGAAAUCCCCGAGCUUAACUUGGGAACUGCAUUUGAGACUGGCAAGCUAGAGUCUUGUAGAGGGGGGUAGAAUUCCAGGUGUAGCGGUGAAAUGCGUAGAGAUCUGGAGGAAUACCGGUGGCGAAGGCGGCCCCCUGGACAAAGACUGACGCUCAGGUGCGAAAGCGUGGGGAGCAAACAGGAUUAGAUACCCCGGUAGUCCCUGUCUCUUAUAC